UGAAGUGAAGUCGGCGGCCAUUCGCCAUCACGUCCUCGUCACUACCACGACCAUAACUUCCACAGCCAGCGUCUGAUUGCCGCGGUGAGGCGAGGUCCUGUGUGGUCGCCCUUCCAUUUGGCCUGUCCUCCUGCCUGCCAUCUUGCGCAUCUUGCCCAGCGCCUUACUCGUUCGAACGGUUUUCGGCCUCGACUGUUGUCAAUCGCUCUCUCAAAGAUCCACAUGUACUCCCUUCCAGGGGACAACUGUUGCGUCUGGCCCUCACGACAAGCGGCCAGGUGGGGGUGCGUUCGAACGAAGGAGAGAGUUCUGGCGAUAGCACAGAUAGCAGUGACUGCGGGAGAGGAGAAUGGAGUGCAGGUUCGUGGAGAACGGUUCACCAGGGUGGACUUGGGCAGAAUGCCCCUCGGCACGGGAAGGUCUGGGAAGGAAACAGCGAUUUAAGCACUACAACGAAUACUAUUGCGACGCACGCUAGAUCGUACACCUGCCUUCCCAUCGAACAUCCAAAGCAUACUGCUAUAUGCGAUAAAGGAAGCGGGAGUUUCAAUCUUGAGAGCCUGAGCAGGAGGAAGGACCACUACUAUAUAUUCAACGUCUUUUCCAUUGUUCGGAUUCCUACUAGGAGGUCAACCGUGCUUACGCCCGGAUUCGAACCGAGACUACUUCACAUGUCUCCAAUAUGAUGGGUGAAUUUUUCAGCUUUUGUAUUUACCACGACCGUAGCAAUGAAAGGAUUCUCGGCACAGAAAAUCUAAGUAUAGCUCAAUAGCGCGUUCGUAGAAUCGAUCAUCUCAUCGUAGCUAAGCCAAUAAGCGUAAGCCAGAAAACGGAAGGAACGCACGCUACAGUAUUGAAACUAAA
Varroa destructor (honeybee mite) is the source of this 864-nucleotide long non-coding RNA. RefSeq lists it as uncharacterized. The record is from RefSeq and is a predicted model, not a curated record. NCBI's taxonomy places the organism in Eukaryota, Metazoa, Arthropoda, Arachnida, Mesostigmata, Varroidae.